GUGUACAGCCAUACCGCCCUGAACAUGCCCAAUAUUGUCUGAUUUUGGAAGUUAAGCAGGGUUGGGCCUGACUAAUACUUGGAAGGGAGAAAGAAUACUCUAAUUAGGCCUUGUAGCUGCCUAGG
This is a non-coding RNA of Gorilla gorilla gorilla (western lowland gorilla), 125 nucleotides long. Lineage: Eukaryota; Metazoa; Chordata; Mammalia; Primates; Hominidae. The record is from Rfam.